This is a small nuclear RNA of Heterocephalus glaber (naked mole-rat), 108 nucleotides long. Lineage: Eukaryota; Metazoa; Chordata; Mammalia; Rodentia; Bathyergidae. The record is from Ensembl.
GUACUCACUUCACCAGCACAUAUACUAAAACUGGAAGGAUACAGAAAAGACAAGCAUGCCCUCUGUGCCAAGAUGACAGCCAAAUUCCGUGUAGUGCUCCAUAUUUCU